This 253-nucleotide ribosomal RNA is filed under the name uncultured bacterium. RNAcentral describes it as "partial 16S ribosomal RNA". It matches the Rfam family "Bacterial small subunit ribosomal RNA", at positions 524 to 776 of the family's 1533-position model. The record is from RNAcentral.
UACGGAGGGUGCAAGCGUUGUUCGGAAUUAUUGGGCGUAAAGGGCAGGUAGGUGGUCUUAAAAGUCUACUGUGAAAUCCCCGAGCUUAACUUGGGAAGUGCGGUAGAUACUCUAAGACUAGAGUGCUGGAGGGGUUCGUGGAAUUCCCGGUGUAGCGGUGAAAUGCGCAGAUAUCGGGAGGAACACCAAUGGCGAAGGCAGCUCGCUGGGACGUGACUGACGCUGAGACGCGAAAGCGUGGGGAGCAAACAGG